RNAcentral lists this ribosomal RNA (433 nucleotides) under uncultured bacterium. RNAcentral describes it as "partial 16S ribosomal RNA". It matches the Rfam family "Bacterial small subunit ribosomal RNA", at positions 29 to 507 of the family's 1533-position model. The record is from RNAcentral.
AGCGAACGCUGGCGGCAGGCCUAACACAUGCAAGUCGAACGGACCCUUCGGGGUUAGUGGCGGACGGGUGAGUAACACGUGGGAACGUGCCUUUAGGUUCGGAAUAGCUCCUGGAAACGGGUGGUAAUGCCGAAUGUGCCCUUCGGGGGAAAGAUUUAUCGCCUUUAGAGCGGCCCGCGUCUGAUUAGCUAGUUGGUGAGGUAACGGCUCACCAAGGCGACGAUCAGUAGCUGGUCUGAGAGGAUGACCAGCCACACUGGGACUGAGACACGGCCCAGACUCCUACGGGAGGCAGCAGUGGGGAAUCUUGCGCAAUGGGCGAAAGCCUGACGCAGCCAUGCCGCGUGAAUGAUGAAGGUCUUAGGAUUGUAAAAUUCUUUCACCGGGGAGGAUAAUGACGGUACCCGGAGAAGAAGCCCCGGCUAACUUCGUG